Molecule: long non-coding RNA, 19724 nt
Filed under: Cricetulus griseus (Chinese hamster)
Lineage: Eukaryota; Metazoa; Chordata; Mammalia; Rodentia; Cricetidae
Description: lncRNA (ENSCGRG00015036632.1)
Source: RNAcentral
GUGUGUGUGGGGGAGGGGGGCAUAAGAGCCUUCCUCAGGCCACUCAGAAGGCUGCACAAUCUCAAAUGAUUGUUCCCUGAAAUUUCCAGUCAGUAUAUUUGAAUGGCAGGGGGCCUGCUGAUGUCCUCCCAUUACAAGGCCAGGGAUGGGGCACAUGCCUGUACUUCAGCACUUAGGAGACUGAACCUGGAGGGUCGGGAGUUAAGGCCACUCUCUGUUAUGAUACAGGAUACUUCAUCCUAAAUCAGUACAAGUGAUGGACACUAACCCUGACAGCUCCAGGACUUCCACUGACGAUGCUCCCUGGGCUUUCUGCUGGAUGCUAUGGACCAAGUAUGUCCUUUCCCUUCCACAAUGGCUGUGACAUCCCUUCACUAAAAACCGACUCAUUUGAGAAGUUGAAAGAGAAGAGAAAAAAGAGACAGAGAACAAGGCAUUUCCUCAAGAAAACCUAAGAACAAACAGUGCCGUAAAGGAGAAGGAUCAUCGUUCCAGUAUGCUUAAUUUCGACCCAAACCCUAUGACCAGCAGGAACAUCCAGGCACCGUCUGAUAGAGCACCCCAUUAAAACACCCCUCAACCCACACAUCAUGGCUGUGUCUCCUCCAGGAAGACAAUUUCUACCCUGGGGCUUGACCAGGAUUCUCUUCCAUCGCUUUGAGAAUGUCAGAGUUUAAAACUUCAAAGGUCCUUCAUGCAGUAACUCUACAAAAGUCUAUGACCACACACACACACACACACACACACACACACACACACACACACUCACACUCACAAACACACACACACAGACACACACACACUCACACUCACAUACACACACACACUCACAAACACACAGAGAGAGACACACACGCGCGUGCGAGCACGCGCGCACACACACACACAUACACACACACACACAGACACACACUCGAGCACACACACACACACACAGACACACACGCGAGCACACACACACACAGACACACACGCGAGUGCGCGCACACACAGACACACACACACAGACACACACGCGAGUGCGCGCACACACAGACACACACACACACACUCACAAACACACACACACACAGAGACACACUCACGUGUGCACACACAUACACACACACACAGAGACACACUCGCGUGUGCACACACACAUACACACACACAGAGACACACUCGUGUGUGCACACACACACACACACUCACACACACACAGACACACACACACACACAGAUUUCAUGCUACCUCGCCUGCUCGCCUCACUCUUCCAAGGACUUCUCCUUAAGAAGAAUGCUCCAGACCAUCAGGCUCCAGACCCCUGGGGACCAUGUCCCAGCUGACCAGGCUCCUUUCAGGAACUUCCCAAUACUUGGAGCCUCUUAUGUGCCACAAGAGUGCUGUGGAGUCUCUGCUUCAGAAGUCAGGAGUGCCCAGUCUCUUAAUGAGCUGAACCCAGGAGGUGAACACUGGACCCAGGAGGAUCAAGACUCAUCAAGAAGGAAGGCCUCUGGGCAAGUCACCAAGGAAUUGUCUACAUUGCAUUAAUUAAGAUGGUAAGACACACCCUAACUGUGUGGGACAGUUCGUGGGCUGGGGUUCCUGCUGAGCAAUAGCAUCCGUUGCUCUCUGUUUUCUGACUACAAAUGCCGUGUGACCAGCUAGCUCACCCUGACUGCUUGCCUUUUCCCAUGGUGCCCGCAUCCUUUGUAGCCACAUACCCAAAAGCCUUCUUCCCUUAAGCUUCAGGCAUCUAUCUGGUCACAACCAUGGGAAAAGUAACUAAUCCACCUCGUGAGGCACAGCAAAAACUUGAGCAAUGGCGGCCAUGAUGUUCUAGUAGAGGGAGUGAGGCAGAGGCAAAGUUGUUCUGAGGGACUGCAUUUGGACUAAGAGGGAAGGAGUUUGUCAAGCGUGGCCCGGAGAGCUGGAAGACGGGGUUUUGCCGUCUCUGGGAUUAGAGAGACUGGAGGUAGAAGAGGAUUAGGAGUCAAGGUUCAAAAAUUUGACUUUUAGGCACAUUGAAUCUGAGAUGAGUGAUAACUGCCCACGCCUAUUAUGCACCAGGCCACCAGCCCUGACAGCCAAAGAGUGUGUUAGUGUCCCUGCCCUUUGAAUUGAGGUAACACAGUGGCCCUCAGAGCUGAAAUGUCUCACCCAUCACACACACACACAGCAGGUAAAUCGAAUCCACUAAGGACUCUAAAGAGAGCUGUCAGUUCUGAGUUGAAUGCUUUUCCUGGGACACCCAGCCGAAAGUGGCAGAGCUUCGAAGGCAGACAGCUGAAGGGAACCUCCUCUCCUGUGACCUCUGCACACCGAGAUUUAAGUCAAAACUUGCAGACUUUAAGGGAAUCUGUUCUAAAGGGAGAGAGGAACUCAAUCUCAAUCCUCUUAAAAAGCAGUGAGAGUUUUUCCCCCUCCCCUUAAAAACUAAAACAAAACCAAGGUGAGUCUAAGGCCAGCCUGCUGACUGCAUCAGAGGCAAAGACAAAAAGAGAAGAGAGGAGAAGUGGGCAGAAACCCCAAGUCAGUGGGCCAAGGGGCAGGCCUGGAGGCUCCCAUUAUCAGAGGUUAGUCGGGGGGGGGGGGGUUCUUAGCUGACUUAAAGAAAACUAAAAUGUUAAUUUUAGGUUCUUUGAUACGUUUUCCUGGAGAUAUUUUGUUCUGAUACAUCCAACAACAGCCAAAGAGAAAAGCUCAGAAGACAGACUUAAUAAAAAUAGCCGAGGAUCCAGGGCAACUGCACGUGAGCUCCAUUUUCUUUGUCCUGUUCAGCUCCAAAAGGCAGAUUACCAAGGUGCUGCAGCACCCACCCCAAGCAGAAUUUAGAGCGAGCUUCAACAUUGCAAAGCUCCUGCACUGGGGACUACUUCAGCUAAUGACUCUGAGCCCUGUUAAAACUCAGAUGUUUCUGAGAAGGAUACAGACAUGGACGUGCGAUUCACUUUGGAGGCCCUGAGCUUGCGGGAGUACCAUUAGGAAUCCUAAUAGCUCAUCUUGGGAAACUUCUUUUGGGCAGAUGCACUAGAAGCUUUGUGCUUCCAACUUGAGAGGUCCUUGAUGUUUAUGCCCAGUUCCAUCACUUAGCGUCGGUCAUCACUUGGUCUGUAGGACCCUGGUCAUCUCUGUGCUCCACAAAGAAAAUUCUUCCCAAAUGUAUUGAAGAUAAGCUGAUGGAGUGUGGCAAGAAACAACAAUUAUCUUGGAAAUCUUGGUAAGACACAUGUCUGCCCUAAGAUGCUGUGGACGGGAUCCCACUGAAACCCAGGAUCCUCUGGCAAAGUAAGUAGUGCUAGAGUCACCUUUCUGUAUGUGUGCAAUCUGAUACAGAAGACACCAGGUGAAGAAAGCUACUGGAGAUGUUCAGUGAUCCUAGAGCUGACUCUGUGUGAGCUGAAUAAAGAACUUUGAAAACCCACAAAAGGGGCCAAGGAUACUUGGGGAAAGAGCAAGGGGUUAUGGGGAGAGAAAGACAUAGCACAGAGGGGCGAGUGGAGCUCUGCCAUACAGUUCCUUGGUGGUGGUUGUGGGGUGGGUGGGAGACCAGAGGCCACUUCUAAAAGAAAUAAAAGGCCAGAAAGACAAAACAAACAAAACUCUUGGGAGGGACAGGGUGCCUCACAGAGUUCCCAGAAGGUCAGGGGGCACUUAGGUUCUGACCAAUCGGAGCAGACCAACCUCCCUGAAUUCCAGGAGCACCGAGCAGGCUUCAGGAGAGCCACACAUCACUGGUGUCCUUUGGAAAGGAAGCUUGCGAUGAUGAUACUGGAUAUUUAUACUAAGAGAUUUCUAAGCAUAUCACUAGAGGUGCAGCUUGGCUUCUUUUAGGAGCCACCUUGGCUCCUUCUAACUGUGCAGAGUAGAAUAAGAACACAGAGGGAUGAUUUUAAAGCUGCAGUUGAUACACAAAAAGGAACCAGAACUUAGAGCUUGGAAAUGCUCCACCUAUCAAUAACACUUAUUUGAAGGAAAAAAAAAAACAAAGCAAGUAUGUUUGGAAAGCAACACUAAAGAUGUGGCCAAGAGACUGUGUGAUAAGGAGAUUAAUAGAGAUAGGAACCAAGGACUUUAUCAGCUAUCUCAACAAAGCCUAGAAAAGGAGAAAGGAUCAGAGCAGCAGAAACUCUGCCAGUUACAACUAAUGGAAACAGAAAAGGGCAACAGAGUCUUCACCACCAGACUGGAGGAUGGUCUAACUACAACAGAAUCUUCAAAACCAGUGCAGAAGGACUAUAGAGGCAAUUCAGAGUUUGCCCAGGUUUUACAUGCUACAAUGCAGUGUAUGUGGGUUCCAGGGGUAAUUCUUCCUCACUCCCAAACAGCAGGGCAAGUACCCAGAAGACCUCUGUGAACACAGCAACCCCACAGAGAACCAUAGCAUGAGAAGUACCACCAGGAGGGCGACAGGGUGAUCAUUGCUCCAAUGGCUUGAUUCUCUGAGAGUGAAGCCCCAAGGCAUCUCUGAUUCUCAUGCUCUUUGCUGUGCUGGGUUGGGGCUGCUUGGAACCCACCAUCUUUUCCUCCUUUUCUCUUUCUGCCUGUCAGGAUGGAAAUGUGUGUCCCAUGUUCAUCCUUCCCCUGUUUUUUGGAAGUGCUUAAUUUGUUUGGUUUCAGGCGGUUCACAGCUGAAGAGGAAUUCAGCCUCAGGUUCACUCUCACUCAUAUCUGAUUGACUUGGUAAUUAGACAAAACUUUGGACUCGAGAUUUUAGACUUGAUACUGAAGUAAGUUUAAGCAUUUGGGGUUGCUGGGAUGGGGAAAAGUUCACGCACGUGAGAAGGAUGUAAUUUUGAGGUAGACCAGGAAGAAGGCAAUCUCUGAAUGCUUUUGUCUCCCCAAAUGAUCUGCUGAGAUCGUAGCUACUGCUGUGAUGGUCUUAGGAAGUGAGGGAUUUGGAAGAUGGGAGAUAACAAGAGUAGAAACCUUACAAGUUCAAUAAGUGUCUUUACAAAGGAGACACCACAGAGCAAUUCUGUUCUUUGCCCACUUUGUGAGGACUAAGUGACAGGAUGACAGUCUAAAGGCCUGGGAGAAAGCCUUCUCAGAAUCAGUCCAGGGCUGUGUCCCCAUCUCAGCCUAAAGGGGAGGGGGAAUAAACUCCUGCUCCUCUUAAGUCAUUUGGUAUUUAUGACAGUGGCCCAAACAGACUAAGUCAUUGUUGCUGUGGAUUGAAUGCGUUGCAAGACUAACUACCAGUGCCUCUGAGGGGACCGUAAUUGAAAAUACAGGCCUUGCACAUGUCAAGAGUUUUGAGAGUGGAUCCUUAAUUCAAUGUGACUUAUGCUCUUAGGAGAAGAGGAAAGAUUAAAGAGAAGAUAAUGAUGCAUGGCACUCUGUUGAGGAAAUCAAUGCCAGGAAUGGCCCAGCCAACACCAGACGUUGGGAGAAGCAACUAAAUGGGUCUCAGAAUCUUGGCAGCUUUCGAUUUCUGACCUCCAGAACUGUUAGAAGGAGUCUGAUCCAGAGAAUGCCAUCUGGGAGAGGGCUGAAAGCAUGGAGCUCCGUCUCCUCACUUGAGACUGAAGAUGAGAUCAAAUUCCAGUGGCCGCAGAGGUGAGGCUCCUACAACACCAAGAAGAAUGGCUGUUUCAAGGAAAUUCUUCGACAAACAUCAGUCCCCUUCUUCCCUUUUUCUUCCCCUUGCUUCUCUCCUACAUCUAAUAGUUUAAUAAGUCAGGGUCUCCCUGUUUCAGGUGGUGUUAAGGUAGACUCACAUUCAUUCAUUCAUUCAUUCAUUCAUUCAUUCAUUCGGAGACAAGCAGCAAGCUCACCGAUCCACAUGCCCCCAAAAGGCUUCAGGAAAGAAACCAGUAAAUACCACACUUUUAGGAAAGAGGGGAGGAUCUGGCAGAGAUGUUGUUUGAAAGGAACAGGAAACUAAUGUCAAGAAGGGGAAAUGCAUGGGCUCUCUGUCAAUAAUCUUUCAAAGUGACCCUAGCGUUUGAAACAAUCUGUGGUCUGAUUUACCCAGAUAAUUACAUUGGUUCUGCAUCUGGCGUAUCAGAGGACACAGGGCUGUGGUUCUGCGGACUUAACUGCCCUUUGCAAACUGACUUUUCUCCCAGAAUGAACUACACAGCAGUAGCUCCAUCCUAGCUCUACCAGGAGGGGACUCUACUGUACCCCUGCUAGCUGACAAGUCCAGACUCAGCCUCUGUGCCCCAUAAGUCUAGACGUGUAUGGGUUCAUCUCCAAACACUGGCAUGCCUGCUCCGUUGAUUAGAGUGUUAGGCAAGGGAGCCACCAGUAAACCCCAGCAGGAUUAGGUAGCUCUGUGUGUCUUCACAUCCACUUUUAACAUCACCAUUAUUUCGACCGAAAGCCCUAGUUAUUAGUUUUAUUAAAAGAGGGGCAAGAAGGAGGUGAAGGAGAAGCCACAGGCUUGUUUGCCCGGGCACGUUACUACAAGCCCCUCCUCAGUUCUCUUGAUUUAAGGGACAUUCUCAAAGGGAGAGGAAAGGCGUUUGGGGUUGUAUGGAAAAUUUGACUCAACCCAAAAAGCCAGCCAACACCACAAAGUGGAGUGGAGUCAAAUCAGAUAAAUAGAAAAAGGAAAAGAAUAUAAAGUAUCUCUGAAUGACAGUAUCAAAAAGGUUAAACGGCUUAGCUGAGCUGGUCCAGGACACAUGGAUUCCAGUCUUGCAUUCUCCUGGGAAGGCGCUUAGGUAUUGACUGUAGGGUGCCUCCCGUGCCCAACAGAAACACAAUCAAAACGUUCAAACCUUAUAUGUGGCUCUGGGUUCAGUGUCUUGAACUACCAAAAAUAAUGUUUGUAAUAAGUCGCCCACAUCUCCCGCUUAUUAUUCAUGUAACCUAGAUAUCUCAUGAAAACAAAAUGUCCAGGGCUGCACCGCCAGCGAGCGUGUGGAAACACCCCAACAGCCCCUGUCUUUGUGUCUUUGAUAUGCUGUGUUGUCUUUUUGCUAGAAUGGAAAAGGCUUAGUCCACUUUAGUAAGUAAACAGCAGCUGCCUUGGACACCUUCACCCGUGUGUUUGACAGAGCCCAGACUUGGAUCCCGAUAGAAUGUGGAGGUGUUUGAUGGACUAGCGGAAGGCGGCUUCGAUGACCAUUAGAAAGAGCUGGGUCAGAUGAGGAUUCCAGCCGGCGAUGCAUUCCGACACUUUCCACUCAAAGCACCCCAACAUUUAGUUGCGUUCUUGCACUUUCUAUGUUUAUACUUUUUUUCCUCUGAAAAUCUUUAGUUGGCAAAAUGGUGUUCUUGCAAGACAUAUUACCUAUGUAUGACCUGGAAAUGGUAACAUUUGUAAUAAUAUAUCUUGAAAGGUUCACCUAAGGAGAAAUCAAAGUGAACCAAACACUUUUCAAACCUCAAAAAUAGAUGACAGAUAGAUAGACAGACAGACAGAUAAAAUUUGGUUUAGCAAGCAUUUGGGGGUCAAUACUUGGAGACGAGAAACAAGAUAAAAUUUGAAGACCCCCAAGUCAAGCUGCUUAUCUUGUGCCAGAGCCAAGUUGGUAUUUUUCAAACAACAGUGAAUAUACAUUGAACAAGGAAAAGGAAGACAUAAAAGCUAGCUCCAUUUUCCACUUAAUUGGUCGGGGCCUAAGAAGCAGAGUCUAGAGGUUUUCAAGAGCUCACCAGCCCCUGUGCUAAGUUGAGGCCCAGACCUGGGCCUCUAAGUUGAGGCCCAGACCUGACUUACUGAACACUUGCCCAUUUCAGCAAAACUCAUGAUGGAAUUGGCUUUCCUGUGUCCUCUGUAACUAACCUGCUUUCCUGAUCACUCAGGCCUUUCUGAGCUCCAACCAGCAUCUUAAGCCUUUAAUCCUGAAGGCUGGAAUCACAUCUGCAGCCAUGCUGCAUGACCGGCCUCCAGCUUUGCCUUCCACCCUGCAGAGUGAGGAAGUUUCUGUUUCUGACAUGUUUCUAGGUUGGCAAAUUUACAAGUUUUGCUUCUCUUCUUUAUAUGGCUUUGUUUUUGGGUCUUUCUUCCCUUAAUAACGGGCUUAACACACUUUCUGUGCAAUGGAAAGGUCGAACAAACAGGCUCUCCACAAACGAUCCAUAGCAGCCAGCAGCCAGCAGCCAGUCACACCAUGAGCAUGCAGACAGACGUGUGGAAGCACACGUGGAGAAUGAUGCCCAGGAGUAAGCAGCCCUGACAGUAGAGCCAUGGCUGGGAAAAGGGAAGAGGGCAUGAGACAUGGAGACUGCAGAGAGUGGCCAAGCUACAGAAAAACAUCAGGGCAACUGGAGGAGAGAUCUGCUUCCCUGCUGUGCCACAAGAGCACCCUGAGGAAGUGGAGCUUUGCCAAGACUGCACACAAGUCCAAGUCGUUAGGUGGGGUGUGAAGGAGCAUGCCUGUAGCCCCAUCACUUGGGAGGCCGAGGGCAAGAGGACUGCUGUAAGUUCUAAGCCUGUAUGAGCUAUAUAGUAAGUCUUAGGCCAGCCUGGGCUACAAAGUGAGACUGUCUCAAAACAAAUAAACUAAGCCCCAAAACACUAACUAACAAUAGGGAAACAAUAAUUAAAUUUUAUAAAAAUCACAGUUACAGGGUCUGACCUAAACAGUUUAAACAACAGACCAUUACAGUUUGUUCAUGUAUUAUUGAUUCUUAAAAAUUUCUUAUCAUAUUCUAAUUUAGUGUGUGUGUGUGUGUGUGUAAAUCUGAGGAAAAUCUGUAGGAGAAAGUUCUCUCCUUCCACCAUGUAGAACCUGGGGGUUGAACUCAGGCUUGUUUCAAGUCAGUCUCAAAGCACAGCCAUCAACUGGGACUGAUGACACACAAUUAACUUUAAGGACUCCCAUGCAGGAGUGAAGCCGUGGUCAUGUGAGGUAUGUGCUCACAAUCCAGUUUGCUAAGACUGUAUUAUAUAAUCCCAUGUUGAACUGUGAAAAACUGCCACUCUGAUUAUUUUUACCUACAAAAAACAAGGGGCAAUUUCAUAUGGUUCUUUUUAUAUCUAUAAAUAGAAUAGUGUAAAGAUUUUCUUUGGACUUGAACAUCCGUCUAAUCCUGUGGAGUUUUCAGAUUCACUGCAUUUAAAAGCUAAACACUCAGGUAUCUGUUUUUCCUAGAGAUCUCCCAUUUACAUGGGUAUCAGGUGUCCUGUAGAUAUCCAGCCUCUCAUGCCAAGUGGUGGGAAGAUUUAACUCUAGUAUGAAAUCAAGGAUGUGAUUUCUGGUUAAGCCAGCAAACAUUUUGCACAGGAAAUGCUUCAUGUUUAGUGGCCAUGUCCCAUGUUUCUUGCCCUAACAGCAAACAAGAUUAUCUCUUGGUCCAAAGGAAAAUGAAGAAUGAAAAUAAACUGUUCACUUCUGAAAGAGCCAUUUCCCCUUCCCAGUGUUUAAGAAAGUCGCUUUAUUUGGCAACAUCUUUCUAGUAGGUAAGAGGGUGUAAGUCAAGCCUCACUUGGUCCCUCUAAGCUCUGUACCUUCAGAGGGGAUUGAACACCAUGACUCAGCCCCCUCUGCUUUAUGCUCUGUUCUUGAAUCCUGGAUGUAUGACUUCCGAAUACUCUUGGAACUGUUGGAGUACCUAACGGGUUAGCACGAGGCUUGCUGCAUUCUGCUUGAAUUUACCCAAGCCGUUAAAAGCACACAAAUAUGGAGCAAUGAGCUGAAAGUAUAGCAGACAUACAUCUGCUGCAGAAAACUCCCUAUUAUCACUACUUUUAUAUAAAUGAUGGCCAAUCGUGCAAACAGAGACAAGCCACUUAAUAAUUUCCAGUCCAGCAAACUUCUGCCCAACUUUAAAAUAAAGUUUUUUAUUCUCCUCUCAUCAGAAGUUUAGGAUGCAGCAAGCCUAAUGAGAAUGAGUUACCAGAAGGAGUAAAGCGUGUCCGCCGUCAACAGCACCACUAACCAUGUCCAUCAAGUGGUGUAGAGAUUAAGAAUAAAGAGGUUCAUAGUAACUUUAAGGCAACAUUCUCAGGGGAAAAAUAAUUUCCAAAUGUCUGGACUGCAAAUUGGCAAGAACUGGGACCAAGUCCUGAUCCUUCCACCGAUAAGCUCCAGGACGCAGAGCAGUCAGCUUCUCCCUCCCUGAAGGUCUUGAGAUCCGUGUUUUAUCUGGAUCUUUCUAUGUCAUAGUCAUCACAGUUUCCCAAGAAUAAAGUGGGAUUAUAUGGCAGCUUAGAUUCCUUCCAAAGGUGUCAUCGUUUCUUUCUUCUUAAUUAGCUGAUCUUGUUUGCCAAUUUCUCCCCAAGGCAUCAUAUUUAUUCCAGCAAAUUCCUAUUUAAAAGGCUCACACGUUAAUGAUUCUGUAUGCUUUAUCUGGAUUGGUAAAUUUAAACCCCCAUCCAGUAAUUUAUGUUUUAUUAAAACCAAUUCGGUUGAAGAGUUCUACCCCAAAAGCCCACAACUAAGUUUCUUGAGGGCAAAAUGCAGAUAAAAGGCUGCAUCAAAUCCCACCCGUGCAAACAAACAUGCAUGCAUGUGUACACUGUGAGUGUUUGCACAAUGGCAGGGAGACCACUGUGGCGUGAGGUAGGAAGGAACUCCAGGGAGACCAUUAGGACAACUCUAUUCUGGAGUAAAAUUUUCAGAGACAGGCCAGAAGUAGCUGGCGAUCAGUGAUGCCCAACCACACAGAACUGACUCUCUCACAUUCUGCCUCGUGUUAGGAGGAAGAGAGGAGUUCAUCUUGAGUCAGAUGUGCCAACCACAUCGGUAAUCCCAGUACUCAGCGGCAGGAGGAUGCCCGCAAAUUCAAGUCCAGCCUGGUCUACACAGUGAGUGCUGAGCCAGCCAGAGCUACAUAGCAGGACUCUGUAUAAAAUCAAAACCAGCAAAGGAAAGAAACAUGUGCUCUGUCAUCCACAGGUUCGGAAGAUGCUUUUAAAAACAUACAAGACGAGCCAGGACAGAAAGAUGAAAGGCCUAGGGAAAUGGCUGCAAAGAUGAACACAUUCUUAAAAAGGAGGAAAGAUGGCUAGGGAAGAGAACCAGGGAAGGAUAAAGAAAUAAAAAAAAAAAGAAAUAGAAAUACAAAGACAAGAGGGGGAAACUGAAACAUUAAGGAAAGAAAACACAUACAGGAAAAGACCAGUGAAUGGAGAAAAACUCUGCCUCGUAGCCCUGCCUUUCCUGGCCGUUACCACAGCACAGAAGAAUUCUAAAGUCCUCCCACAGUUCAAACCUGCAUGUCUCUUACUCAUCUUUUCUUUCUCUCAAAAUAUCAAAAGGACAAUCCACUCUGACCUAAUGGAGGCUCUUGCUGAUGUCCGAUUGCCUGCCUGCCUUGUACACACUGUUUCUCUUGGGUGACAGUCCUCUGGUGGUAAGUAAACAAUACUGUAAUGAGCAACACAGUAAGUUCGAGAAAUACCCAGAUUGGAGGACUGGGGGAGAGAGUGGGCUGUGGGCACUUUCUAUUGCUUUGGCCUUCAACCUGAUGCCUCCAUUACUAAGAAUGGAUCUUGAUGUCCCUUUUCAAGGUGUUGCAUUAGCAAGCAUACGGUGACUGUCCAGACUGCCCACCUACACUGCCCACCUAAAUGAACUUUAAAUGCGAAUUUCCAGCUACCAAAGUGUCCCUGGGCUGCUUGUCACUGUUUCCACAUAUCUGUAUAUAUGCACAUAUACAGGAAAGGGAAAAAGAUAUUCAAUGAGAUGAAAUAUUCACUUUAAUUAUUAAGUUCUUAUAAAGGGUAAUGGGCUCUUUGUACUAUCCCUGCAACUUUUCUAUAAUUUAAAAAAAUAUAUAAUGAAGUAGGAAGCUCUGAAAAGUUAUCACAGAAUGGAGAGACUAACCAGUUCCUUAAACAAACAGCCUAUUGUGUGCUUAACCACUCCUGACCACGCUGACAUCAAAGUUUUCAUCCUGCCAUUAGCAGAAUGCAAAGUGGAACAGGAAGGCAAAGGGUCCGGUGUGUGCUUUGGAAGCUUCCUGUCGGCUUUCAGGAGUGAUUGCAAGCCCUGUCAUCACUUGAAGGCACCAUUUCUCUAUCUUAAAAAAUCUCAAGCUUCAAACAAAAAUCUUUUGUUCCCAGUUCUAAUCAGCUUGACUCGGUGUGUCGACAGCUGCUGCCGAGGACCAAGAACUAAAGUCGAGGAGGGAAGCUGGGACUCUCCAGGUGGCUAGGUGUCCCCAGUUGUGGGAGACACUGGCAACACAUUCCUCAGUGGCACGGCAAGCUCGAUGCUUUAUGGUUUCUCCUGGCAGUUUGGGAAGGCUCUCCCAAGCCCUGAGGGACAUGAUGUUGAAUUACCUCUCAGAAAGCCAGCAGUGGUAUUUUGCGGUCAUGGCCAGAUUAUACGCACAGGCAUGGAUCACACCUUCUCACGAAAGUGAGUUUCUGGGGCUCAUGACUCAUUGUGUCUUCUAUUCAGAUAGGUAGCUUAUUGUGUUUGGCUGAGACACAAAAACAGGUGGCUUAACUGGUGGCACAAACAUGUGGUCUUUGUCCAUAGCCCAAAGGUGAUCACCUGCUGGGUCCUCUAUGGAAUUUCCACUCCCUGUGAGAAUCAAAAACAUAAUUGGGGGGAAAAAAGAUGCUGAGAUGCUGUUGUUCUCCAGGUGUUUCUUUGAGUUGGCCAACUUCCGCCCUCUCUGUUGUGUUUCCCAGGGAUGGGAGGUUUGCACUGGGCUGGUAAGUAGUGGGGUAAGCCUAGAUCAGUGAAAGGGAAGCAAUGCAACCAGUUAGACUGGAGAUCUUGUUCUGGGCUCCCUAGACAACUUCCCAUCUGUCUCAAGAGUGGAUCCUUCGAGGAGUCAGUACCAGGAUGGAGAUGCCUCAUCCGUUCAUCAGCCUGCACCUUGCCCUACGUUUUAGCAUCUGCUGAUUAAUGUGCCAUUCAAGAGAAUCUUCUGUAUUUCACUGAUCCCAUCUGCUCUUCUCCUGUAUAUCUGUAAAACUGAGGCAGUUCUAUCUGCUCCUACCCAAGGCUGAGUAUCAAUGUAACUUUUAUGUUGUGUGUUUCUUGUUCUGUGUUGCGUUUACAUGUUUGUAAGUGCAUGCACACAUGGAGUCCAGGGGUCCACCUCAACUGUCUUCCUCAAUUGUCUACACCCUAUUUUUUUUGAGGCAGUCUGAUAGGGGAUGUCCUUCUGUGAAUAUGCUUCUCUUAUUGGUUGAUGAAUAAAACAAUGUUGGCCAAUAAGGUAGGAUGAUAGGCAGGACUAGGAGAAGAGGAGAAUUCUGGGAAGUAUAGGCAGGGAGGGGUAGCCAUGUGAGCCACCAAAGGAGUUAAGAGGUCUGGACCCUUCUCUGGUAAGAUAAAACCAUGUGGAAAUACUUAGAUUAAUAGAAAUGGGUUAAUAAUUAAGACAGAGCUAGCCAAUAAGAAGCCCUAGUCAUCAGUCAACAGUUUUAUAAUUAAUAUAGUGUCUCUGUGUGUUUAUUUGGGGCUGAAGUGGUUGUGGGACCAGGUGGGGUGGAAAAUUGCUUCAACAGCAGUCUCUCAGUUAACCUUGAACUCACCAACUGCACUGGGCCGACUAGCCAUACUUCCCCACACUCAUCACUCUGCUUCCCCAGUCCUGGGCUCACAGGCAUGCAACAGCAUGCCUGGCUUUUUAUGUGGACAACAUGGGUCCAACACUCAGGGCCUCACCCAUCCCAGAACGCAUGUUGCCUAUUAAACCAUCUCCCAGCCCUUGACAGCAUUUUUUUUUUUAACAUUUCAAUAUAUAUUGGUCAGGUCUUGGCAGCAAACAGAAGAAAUACAUUCCAAAUUCAAAAAGAAAGGAAUUGAUUAGAAGAAAAUGUUAUUUAAAAGACAUGAUCAAUACAAGGGCUGGAGAAAUAAAAUCUUGGAGAAACACAGACUAGAACUGAGGAGGAAGACCAUUCAGCGGACGGCGAAUUAAUCUACAUGUGGACCCUGUAGAGACACGUUCACUAACAUUUCCACCCCAACCACUACUGGAUACCAUGGCAACUGCUGUCUCUUGUGUAGACACAAUUUCUGAGAGCCCUUGCAUCAGUCUUCCAAAUCCUCUUACAGGUAGAGAAUCCAGGUAGCUUGACUUAGGUCAUAAAGGUCAGCCCUUGCCAACUGGGCCCUAAUGGAAGGUAGGACUAAGGGGAACAAACGCAAAUGCCAAAACAUUUUAAAAUGUUCAAGAUAACAAAAUGUGAGAAGAAGUUAAGAAAUCUUAACUUUUACCAGUUCUCAAAGAAGCUGAGCCCUCUCACAGACCAGCACCUUUGGCUCACUGAAUCUGUCCUUGUUUUCGUUAUUGCUUUUAUCUUUCCUGUGUCCACUCCAAAACAAGGUAAAAGUCUUUUCAGUCACUGAUCUUAAUUUACUAAAAUGUUUUUAAAUUUAAAUCUACUUAUCAUCAUUUUCUGAGCUAAAGAAUGAAAAUAAAUGUAUUUAACCAGAAACACAUUAACUGGCUUCCUUCUCUGUUUUCUCCCUCUGCAGUUGUGGGAUUAUCAUGUUUCCAAAUAAGAAGCACCUGGCUGGUUCUUUCCUUAAGGUUAAUUAAUAACCCUUGGAGAGAAAAAUAAGCCAAUAUAUUCCAUUUAAUAUGGAUUUCCCUGACAUGAGGAUGAGGCCUCAAAAAUACCUUUGUUUUCAUGUUGCUAAAAGAAGACAGAUACUUGGAUAUCAGUUUUACAGCUGCCGUUCCUCCUUGGGAGGCAGCAAGGACAUAGUGCAUGCCCCCUAGGACACUAAGCAUGCUCGGGGCAAAAAGGCAGAAGCUCUAACUGUGCCUGCAGCCUGCCAUCUUACAGAGAUACUAAGGAAGAGUGGCGUGCCUUCUUUCCGGGAUGACCAGUGUGACCAUGAAUGCCAGGACAGCUGCUGUCAUGAUCAUCUGCCUUGCCUUCAUUCACAAAGCAUAUUUUAUCAAUGGCAUUUUGGAUUCAGACCAUCGAAAGAGGAAAUCAGACAGUAUCUCUCAGCAAACAAAGAGCCCACCUACUAUGUGGAUGGGCUAGCCAGCAAGUCCCAGGAAUCCACCUGCUUCUGCUUCCCCACUGCUGGGAUUACAGGUGCACAUUGCCACACCUGGUUAUUGUAUGGUAAAAUCCGCUCUGGGUCUUCAUGCUUACAUAGCAAGCACUGUGCCAGCCGAGCCAUCUCCCCACACCCUGUAUUUUAUUUUAUUGGCAUGUACUCAUUGUACACAGUCCUGGAUUUCAUAAGGGCGUUUCCAUAAAAGAAUAUAAUGUACUUUGACCAUAGUUAAUAAGAAGGAUGCCUGUAAACAUUCCAAAAAUAACAACACAUGCGUGCGGAAGAUACUAUAGACAUGCUUGGUACAUCUCCAGACUUUAAGAUCCCUGAGAAUAACACUGGCUAAGUGGGUCAGAGGUUUGGAUCAGCUCGCAAGUUGAAAAGUUCAGAGUGGGAAAGAAACAUCGCACUUGACUUGGGGGUGUGCCUGAGCCAGGACAGUCAUCCAAACUCUUCAGAUCUGACUGGGUCUGUGCCCCACAGACACAUAAACCUGGGUCUGCUGCUUCACCACAGUGGGCUGGCUAUGUCUUUUCCACAAGACUUCUUGAUCUCCACCUGCAUGUGGCCUUGAUCUGGCCCAAUGAUACCGGCAGAGUCUCAAGUCUAAUGGACUGUAGAUGUGAAGGCAAGAGAGGCAAGGCCCUGGGACCCACGCUGCACUCUGCUCUUCUGUGUAACUCAGUAAGAAGGCACAAUGUUACUCAUACACGCUUGUCACCCAAGGCAUUUCCAAAGGACUCAAGCCUUGCAGACGGUGACAUUUAUCCACCACUGGCUGUGCUGGAUUUAAACAGAUGACCUUCUCAUGAGAGCCCCAGUGUUUUCUUUCUAAUCCAGUCCACCAAGUCAUUUCCCAUUGCUGCCCUCCUGAUAUGACGCACAGCACCACUCUCCAGAGCGCUGGCCUUUUUAUUGGUUCUCAUAUGUGCAAAGAUCUUCAGAGGAUGGAUUUGCAGCAGAGAUGAGCUAAUAAAGUGCCACUUUUGCAGAAGAGAUGGCACUGGUGAUAUUCUGAGUCCAUAAAUAGCACCCCUUAUAUAAUCCAUUAUUCUCAGUGAGGACCCGUGGGCUUGAGUCUAUUUAUUUUAACUCAUAUUUUUUAUGUCAUCUGGUAAGAUUUAGCCAUAACUGUAACAGUUACAGUCCAAAUAACUGUUCUUCUUAGAACAGGGUUGCAGUGUGCUGCCACAGAGUGUGACAAUGUCUUCUCAUGUAUGGGUCCCACGCUAAUGAAGAGUGGUCCAGGCAGCCCCGGAGCAGGUAGCAUCUCAGAGAUCAUUCCUCAGAGAGACACAGCUGCUCAACCCUCACCCCAAGGGCAGUCAGAAGAUGGAGAGAUCAAAGGGAGUUCAGAGAAAAUGAAAGCACACCCCUAAUUCAAUACAGGAAAAUUGCCAUGACUGGAGUGCUUAGUUCAAUCUUCUAAGAAAACAACAACAGAGAGCAGAAGAAAAAAAAAUGACUAAGAUCGGGUUCUGGCAUCAGGAAUCAGCUUGCCAAGGCGGAAGGCAUACCCGAUGGGGAAGACAGCUCGUUCCCCUAGAUUAAUCAGAGUUCUGAGUCAACUGUAAGUUCCAAGUGUCCCACUGCCAAGAUACAACAUAAGCCACUUAAUUCCUUCCCACAAUCUAGAAUUGUUAGUUGCUAUCCAAGCCAAGUACUCUGAUAAAACCCCUGGAGACAUGAAACCCAUCAAAGGGGGCAGAGUUAUGCCAGGAUGGAUAACCGGAGCUUGGGGAGCAAUGGGACCCUACCUCAUGAAGAGGCUAAAGGGACUCCAUCGAGGGGUGUUGAGGGGAGGCAGUUAUCUUUGUUGGUUGCCUAUUGUCAGCUCCCAAGUCACUUGGGGAUGGGCAGAGAGGCAAAGGGCAGCCCCCUCGGUAAGAAUGGGAAAUUGUGGGCAAACUCUCUCUGUGGGCAAAAAUACACAAAAAAUAGAAAAGGCAACCACACUUCCCAUGGUUACGGUUUCUUUGCAAGUGGGUUGUGGAGAUGAUCAGUUCAAACCUAGACAAAAGGGCAGGAACCUCUGGUUUGGAAAUCUUUGAGGCAGAAUACCUUCCCAUAGUGGUGGAUGCUAAGCACCCCACCCCAUGAGUAACUCUUUAGGGUUGAGAGUUCCCAGGAGGCACAGACAUGACCUGGGAGUGCAAUACACAAGCAUCCAGCAUCACAUUGGGUUGCUUAGUGAGGGAGCCGAGUGCUAACUAAGCCCUUAAGGAAGAAGCAUGAAACCAUUGAGCUCCUACUGGUGCAAGGCACUUUUUUUUUUUUUUUUUUUUUUUUUUUUUUGGUUUUUGGAGGCAGGGUUUCUCUGUGGCUUUGAAGGCUGUCCUGGAACUAGCUCUUGUAGACCAGGCUGGUCUCGAACUCACAGAGAUCCGCCAGCAUCUACCUCCCGAGUGCUGGGAUUAAAGGCGUGCGCCACCACCACCUGGCCACUACCAUCCUCUUUUUAAAACAAAACAAAACAAAAAGUUACCAGGAAGUAGAGCCUAGAACUCAUGAUGGAGUUCUAGGCUGAUGUUGUGAUCUGUCAUCCAAUCUCUGCCCCUCAGCCGCAGGGAUCACAGACCCUUACUCUGACUGGAGCAGAGAGAGAGGAGGAGGGAUUGCAGAUCCCACAGAUUUUCUUCACCAGCGUUUUGUUGCUAAUUGGAAAGACAGGGAAGAGGGAGUGAGAGCCAGAGGGGAGCUCGGUGGCACACAGCUCCUGAUGCCUCAUACUCAGAACUCCUGGGCUGGGCUCUGUGUCCAUGAGGCACAAUAGACUUAAAAGUGUGGUGCAAUAGAGUUUAUUGCUUAAUCCUAUCUGGGGAUCCCCUCCCGCAAGGUUCCUGGGGCUAAAACAUCGUCAUCAGUGUUGAUAUCACUCUACUCCCUGGUAACUUAAAAAAAAAAAAAAAUACUAGCCAAUGUUACCACCCAGAUACAUCAUACAAAAACAUCCUUUCUGCUAAUUUGCAUAAAGCAAACUUCUUCUGAAACAUGGUAAUCACCCCACGUCUCAGGACUCACACUUAAAUAAAGCCAGCACUUAGCAAGCUUAGAAAGGUGCUGGUGCUCUGUGGACACAGGUCUUCGGAAGCUGCCAAAGUCUUCCACGUGCAGGUCUCUGGCACUCCGAUGGGGUGAGGGCCCUUCUGCCGAGGUAGCUGACACAGUCUAGGAAGCUUUCAGCACACAAACCAGCAGCCCACGUUUGCAAGAGCAGAUCUGCUUUUGUAACAGCCUCCAAUGUUUAUGUUCCUGUCGCUACCACACAGUUGUCAGCCCCCCUGGCUCUCCUUCGUUCAAUCAGUCCUCUCCCUUGCUCAAAAGGCUGAUGACUCAGUAGCUGCUUCCAUGUAUCCUGCUGGUUUUAGAUAACCUCCAGGAAUCUGUUGCACCCGUUUGUACCCCCAUGUCAGCUAUUGAUUCAACAGGCAAAUCUCUGACCCUUCCAUAUGCUGGGCACAAUGGCAAGCACGACAGCAGCAAGCAUUUUGAGAGCCUCAGAAGAGCUCAUUUCAAACAGACACUCGCUAUGUACUACUCAGAAGCAUAGAUUCUCAGAAUACAGGUUUCUCUUCCGAAAUACCUGUCCUUCCUUGAUACUCUUCAGUAUUCCUUCCCAUGGAGCCUCCGUCCCAUGGGAGCUCUUCUCUUAUCUCAAAGUCAGAAUAAAAGAGUCCCUUUUCUGUAGUUCACAACACUCAUAGAAGCCGAGGCCAGAAGAAAGAAGACACCUAAGAGUACAGGGCAAGGAGGCCCAGCUUCACAAUCAAAGCUAGAAACAUAUUGGGAGGAUGUGGAUUAAGUCUAGGAAUGAAGAAUGAAGUUGAUUCUAAGAACGUCUUAGAAUCAAUGAGAACCAGGGUAGUUCUUGGGUUUCACAGACUAAGCGAAAAGUAUUUGCUUACUGAGAGGGACAGUCAAUACGUUUUGAUUGACCACACAAGGAAAGACGGGAAUCUGGUAAGGGUAAGGCCACUCCCCUGACCAUAGCUCAUACACUAUUACCGGAGAAAAGAUGGGUCAGGAAGGCAGAAGAUGCUCGUGAACAUUGUAGCUGUAGGAACUGUCAACUGCUUCAGGAAACUUGCCUGAACACUCACAGGCUUAAACAUACACAUAUUCACGUAUGGUAGAUCCAAAAUAGGAUGCUAACAAACACUGUGAGGCGUGAUCUAACCUGAACCCAAAAGAAAGAAAACAGUCCGUGCAAUAGCAGAAAACACUUUACAAAACAAACCUGCUCAGUUUUUCCUAGGUUCUCUUCCAAGACUUGACUAUAGAUGAAAACAUGGCUGUAUUUUCUGUACCCCCCUUCUCAUAUCAUGUACAUAUUCUCAGGCCGCCUUACAGCGUUCUUAAACUUUUCCUAACAUGUAUAUGUUCCUUCUACACUGUUUGUUUUUUGAGUCUCACGAAUGUUUAGAAUGAUCCUGUUUUCUCCUCCUAUACACAGCUCCAUAACUAAUGCCUUCAUGUAUACACAUUUUCCUUUCUCUGAAUUAUUCCCUUGGGACAAAUGCCAGUGUGUGGGGCAGGAAAGAUAAACAAAGCAGGAAUGUUUUAUGGCUGCUGUAGUGCCUUGCCAAAUCAUUCCAGAAAAGAUGCCAGUUCAGGUUCGCCACUGGAGAUGUCUGAUUAUCCCACAUGCUCCCAGUGACACAGUGCUAGGCAUCCGUCAUGGACAAACUCUCCACAACACACCCUCUUCCCAACAAGGCACCAGGAAACUUGGUCUACAGCUGCCAUUCAUCUGCCCAAUGUUGUAAUUGGGGGGGGUAUUUUUAAUUGACAAGGAUAUUUUCAUUACAGCAAAACCAAUUUUCUCGCUUUUGAAUGUACAUAAAAUUAUCAUUUCUGAG